Molecule: ribosomal RNA, 252 nt
Filed under: uncultured bacterium
Lineage: Bacteria
Description: partial 16S ribosomal RNA
Rfam family: Bacterial small subunit ribosomal RNA
Source: RNAcentral
UACAGAGGAUGCGAGCGUUAUCCGGAUUUAUUGGGUUUAAAGGGUGCGUAGGCGGACGCUUAAGUCAGCGGUAAAAUUGCGGGGCUCAACCUCGUCGAGCCGUUGAAACUGGGUGCCUUGAGUGGGCGGGAAGUACGCGGAAUGCGUGGUGUAGCGGUGAAAUGCAUAGAUAUCACGCAGAACUCCGAUUGCGAAGGCAGCGUACCGGCGCCCAACUGACGCUGAAGCACGAAGGCGUGGGUAUCGAACAGG